CCGAAAACAAUGAGGAUAAUGAGAUCAGGGACGAGAACAGUGAAAAUAAUGAAAUCGGAGACGAAAAAUGUCUUGGUUUGUUAAUUUUUUUAAAUUUUAAAUUUAAAAAUUAAUUUAACUAAUUAAAAAUUGUAAAUAAUGCAAAAUAAAACUCUUUAUUGCUCGUUUGAAAAAAAAAUUCGAGUUAUAAAUAAUAAUUAUAAAUUUUACUUUACCCGACCCCUGCAUUUCGGUCAUUUUAUAAUUAUUUUAAAUAGGUAUUACGUUUUAUUUCAGUCAACAAACGUCAAGAAAAUAUUACAAAUGAAAGAAAUAAUUCAAUUCAAUGUUUAAAAAAGCAAGCAGAAAGGAUGACGACACAAUCAAAUAAAAAAUAUCAAGAGUUGGAAGUCGGAACAACUGUUCGUAUUUCCAUUCCUGACGUUGAUAGAGCCCGUGGAUCCCACGUAAUUUAUUAGCAGUAAUUGCUAACGUUGACAACGGCUUUUAUAAAUUAUGUACCGAAAAUGGUUUUCUUAAACACAAGUAUACGAGAUCUCAACUUGUGCCAUCCAAAGAAAUGUUGCUUGAUCUCAAAACUCUGGUUGAAUCAUCUAAAGAAAAAGAGAUAACACUUCGAGAAGCAGCAGGAUGUAGUAGUCUUAUGGGCACACAAGGCUAUCAAAGAUGUCACUGUAAAAUGAAGUGUAAAACAAAUAAAUGCACCUGUCGAUUAGUAGGAAAAUUAUGCAAUUCAAAAUGUCACAGUUCAUUGUCAUGUGAAAAUAAAUAAUAAUAUAACAAUUUAAAUACAAAUAACAUGAUUAACUAAUAUUGUUUGGAACUAACGUAAAUCCUUAGUUAUUAACGUUUAAGUCUUGUAAAAUAUUUAUUAUUAUCUAUUAACGUUAAUUGAUAGUUAAUAACGUAAAUAUAAAUUUAACAUCUUUUACUGUAACAUAUCCAUUAUCAUUCAAACAUCUAUAGGCUGCCCACUCAUCUGAAUGAAUAACAGAGGCAGCUUCACAUUAUCGUAGUAACGUGUUUUUGUCUCUUCGAGGAACAUAAAAAUAUCGGCAGUCAGAACCAUUUUUAAGCCCAAAAACCCAAGGUCCAUCGACUCUUCGUCCAUGGUUUCUACCGUUGUGUAGUUCAGCAUCACUGUCUUCCGAUGAAGCUGGUUGAUCACCAUUAAGCGAUUAUAUUUCCUUUUUCCGGCAAAUCUGGCCUCGUCAAUCUAUAUUGGGUUUAUGCCAGUGCCCAGCAUCUUAGUUCGUUUCUGUACAAUACUUGAACAUACUUCACGACACGUAUUAAACCAGUCAGUAACUGUCUCCUGGCAUCUACCUGUUAGGGUGGCUGUUAUUCUCAAAGGUAUGUCCGAUACAAAAAAAA
Long non-coding RNA from Acyrthosiphon pisum (pea aphid), 1374 nucleotides. RefSeq lists it as uncharacterized. The transcript is spliced from 2 exons. Lineage: Eukaryota; Metazoa; Arthropoda; Insecta; Hemiptera; Aphididae. The record is from RefSeq and is a predicted model, not a curated record.